RNAcentral lists this ribosomal RNA (238 nucleotides) under uncultured Staphylococcus sp. Its description in RNAcentral is "partial 16S ribosomal RNA". It matches the Rfam family "Bacterial small subunit ribosomal RNA", at positions 127 to 354 of the family's 1533-position model. The record is from RNAcentral. Lineage: Bacteria; Bacillati; Bacillota; Bacilli; Caryophanales; Staphylococcaceae.
UACCUAUAAGACUGGGAUAACUUCGGGAAACCGGAGCUAAUACCGGAUAAUAUUUCGAACCGCAUGGUUCGAUAGUGAAAGGUGGUUUUGCUAUCACUUAUAGAUGGACCCGCGCCGUAUUAGCUAGUUGGUAAGGUAACGGCUUACCAAGGCGACGAUACGUAGCCGACCUGAGAGGGUGAUCGGCCACACUGGAACUGAGACACGGUCCAGACCUCCGUACGGGGAGGCAGCAGGC